Molecule: ribosomal RNA, 193 nt
Filed under: uncultured Pseudomonas sp.
Lineage: Bacteria; Pseudomonadati; Pseudomonadota; Gammaproteobacteria; Pseudomonadales; Pseudomonadaceae
Description: partial 16S ribosomal RNA
Rfam family: Bacterial small subunit ribosomal RNA
Source: RNAcentral
CUACGGGAGGCAGCAGUGGGGAAUAUUGGACAAUGGGCGAAAGCCUGAUCCAGCCAUGCCGCGUGUGUGAAGAAGGUCUUCGGAUUGUAAAGCUCUUUAAGUUGGGAGGAAGGGCAGUAAGUUAAUGCCUUGCUGUUUUGACGUUACCAACAGAAUAAGCACCGGCUAACUUCGUGCCAGCAGCCGCGGUAAU